Non-coding RNA from Triticum urartu, 115 nucleotides. The record is from Rfam. NCBI's taxonomy places the organism in Eukaryota, Viridiplantae, Streptophyta, Magnoliopsida, Poales, Poaceae.
CUUGUACUCCCUCCGUCCAACAAUACAUGUCAUUGAAAUGGAUGUAUCUAGAUGUAUUUUAGUUCUAGACACAUCCAUUUUGAUGAAAAGUAAUUUCGGACGGAUGGAGUACUUG